GACGAACGCUGGCGGCGUGCUUAACACAUGCAAGUCGAACGAUGAAGCUGGAGCUUGCUCUAGUGGAUUAGUGGCGAACGGGUGAGUAACACGUGAGCAAUCUGGCCCUUGACUCUGGGAUAACUGCGGGAAACUGUAGCUAAUACCGGAUACGACACCUUGGGGCAUCCCGAGGUGUGGAAAGAAUUUCGGUCAAGGAUGAGCUCGCGGCCUAUCAGCUUGUUGGUGAGGUAAAAGCUCACCAAGGCGACGACGGGUAGCCGGCCUGAGAGGGUGACCGGGCCACACUGGAACUGAGAUACGGUCCAGACUCGUGAUGCU
This 321-nucleotide ribosomal RNA is filed under the name uncultured bacterium. RNAcentral's name for it is "bacterial SSU rRNA". It matches the Rfam family "Bacterial small subunit ribosomal RNA", at positions 28 to 350 of the family's 1533-position model. The record is from RNAcentral.